This 251-nucleotide ribosomal RNA is filed under the name uncultured prokaryote. RNAcentral's name for it is "partial 16S rRNA". It matches the Rfam family "Bacterial small subunit ribosomal RNA", at positions 525 to 775 of the family's 1533-position model. The record is from RNAcentral.
ACGUAGGGGGCAAGCGUUGUUCGGAAUUACUGGGCGUAAAGGGCAUGUAGGCGGCCCUGUAAGCUUGGCGUGAAAGUCAACGGCUUAACCGUGGGAUUGCGUUGGGAACUGCGAGGCUUGAGUGAUGGAGAGGGAGCUAGAAUUCCAGGUGUAGGGGUGAAAUCUGUAGAGAUCUGGAAGAAUACCAAUGGCGAAGGCAAGCUCCUGGCCAAUGACUGACGCUGAGGUGCGAAAGUGUGGGGAUCAAACAG